Molecule: non-coding RNA, 84 nt
Organism: Albula goreensis
Lineage: Eukaryota; Metazoa; Chordata; Actinopteri; Albuliformes; Albulidae
Source: the annotation of a GenBank genome assembly
GCUCCGGUAGCUCAUCCGGUAGAGCGCAUGCCACAUAAGGCUGAGGCCUUACCGCAGCGGCCGGCUUCGAAUCCGGCCUGGGCC